Molecule: ribosomal RNA, 497 nt
Filed under: uncultured bacterium
Lineage: Bacteria
Description: partial 16S ribosomal RNA
Rfam family: Bacterial small subunit ribosomal RNA
Source: RNAcentral
GAUGAACGCUGGCGGCGUGCCUAAUACAUGCAAGUCGAGCGAACGGACGAGAAGCUUGCUUCUCUGAUGUUAGCGGCGGACGGGUGAGUAACACGUGGAUAACCUACCUAUAAGACUGGGAUAACUUCGGGAAACCGUAGCUAAUACCGGAUAAUAUUUUGAACCGCAUGGUUCAAAAGUGAAAGACGGUCUUGCUGUCACUUAUAGAUGGAUCCGCGCUGCAUUAGCUAGUUGGUAAGGUAACGGCUUACCAAGGCAACGAUGCAUAGCCGACCUGAGAGGGGGGUCGGCCACACUGGAACUGAGACACGGUCCAGACGCCUACGGGAGGCAGCAGUAGGGAAUCUUCCGCAAUGGGCGAAAGCCUUGCGGAGCAACGCCGAGUGAGUGAUGAAGGUCUUCGGAUCGUAAAACUCUGUUAUUAGGGAAGAACAGAUGUGUAAGUAACUGUGCACAUCUUGACGGUACCUAAUCAGAAAGCCACGGCUAACUACGUG